RNAcentral lists this transfer RNA (88 nucleotides) under Pseudactinotalea sp. HY160. RNAcentral describes it as "tRNA-Ser". It matches the Rfam family "tRNA". From Rfam's summary of the family: Transfer RNA (tRNA) molecules are approximately 80 nucleotides in length. Their secondary structure includes four short double-helical elements and three loops (D, anti-codon, and T loops). The record is from RNAcentral. RNAcentral also lists the same sequence under 1 other name. Lineage: Bacteria; Bacillati; Actinomycetota; Actinomycetes; Micrococcales; Cellulomonadaceae.
GGAGGGUUGACAGAGCGGCCGAAUGUGACGGUCUUGAAAACCGUUGUGGGGCGACCCACCAAGGGUUCGAAUCCCUUACCCUCCGCCA